Molecule: non-coding RNA, 26 nt
Filed under: Drosophila melanogaster (fruit fly)
Lineage: Eukaryota; Metazoa; Arthropoda; Insecta; Diptera; Drosophilidae
Also listed under: 5 other names
Source: RNAcentral
ACUCUGGACUCUGAAUCCAGCGAUCC